GGGCCCAUGGCGCAGCUGGUAGCGCACCUGCAUGGCAUGCAGGGGGUCGCGGGUUCGAGUCCCGCUGGGUCCA
This 73-nucleotide transfer RNA is filed under the name Microbacterium sp. RNAcentral's name for it is "tRNA-Ala". It matches the Rfam family "tRNA". From Rfam's summary of the family: Transfer RNA (tRNA) molecules are approximately 80 nucleotides in length. Their secondary structure includes four short double-helical elements and three loops (D, anti-codon, and T loops). Lineage: Bacteria; Bacillati; Actinomycetota; Actinomycetes; Micrococcales; Microbacteriaceae. The record is from RNAcentral. RNAcentral also lists the same sequence under 2 other names.